RNAcentral lists this long non-coding RNA (9363 nucleotides) under Zostera marina. Its description in RNAcentral is "long non-coding RNA (ZMAR_LNC001730)". The record is from RNAcentral. Lineage: Eukaryota; Viridiplantae; Streptophyta; Magnoliopsida; Alismatales; Zosteraceae.
GAUGAAGAAGGCUAUCAUGAUUCUGCUUAACGGGGAGAGCAUCCCGCAUCUAUUCAUCACCAUCAUCCGCUACGUACUCCCUUCCGAAGACCACACAAUCCAGAAGCUCCUCCUUCUGUACCUCGAGAUCAUUGAUAAGAAGGACUCUUCCGGAAAGGCACUUCCGGAAAUGAUCUUGAUUUGCCAGAAUUUGAGGAAUAAUCUUCAGCAUCCCAAUGAGUAUAUCCGGGGCGUUACACUUAGGUUUCUUUGUAGGCUCAAUGAGACUGAAAUUAUCGAGCCGUUGAUCCCCUCAGUUCUCUCCAAUUUGGAGCAUAGACAUCCGUUUAUAAGGAGAUACGCUAUUCUUGCAAUCAUGUCUAUCUACAACCUCCCUAAUGGGGAUCAGCUUCUGGUUGAUGCUCCUGAGAUGAUUGAGAAGGCAUUGUCUAGUGAACAUGAUGCCUCUGCCAAGAGGAAUGCUUUCUUGAUGUUGUUUCAGUGUGCACAAGAUCGAGCUGUGAAUUAUCUUUUGUCACAUGUAGACAAUGUUGCUGAUUGGGGUGAGUUGAUGCAAAUGGUUGUUCUAGACCUGAUCCGUAAGGUAUGUCGGACAAACCGUGGUGAGAAAGGCAAGUACAUUAAAAUCAUAAUUUCACUGUUGAAUGUACCUUCCACAGCUGUUGUAUCUGAAUGUGCCGGAACACUUGUGUCGCUGUCGUCUGCACCUACUGCUAUCAGAGCUGCUGCCAAUACCUACUGCCAGCUUCUUGUCUCGCAGAGUGAUAACAAUGUGAAACUUAUUGUGUUGGACAGGCUUAAUGAGCUUAAAGUCUUACACAGAGAGAUCAUGGUCGAUAUGAUAAUGGAUGUGCUCAGGGCUCUUUCUAGUCCUAAUCUUGAUAUCCGCAGGAAGACAAUUGAUAUUGUUCUCGAACUUAUAACCUCUAAGAACAUUGAUGAGGUUGUACUUACACUUAAGAAAGAAGUUAUGAAGACACAGAGCGGAGAGCUAGAAAAUAGUGGGGAAUAUAGGCAGAUGCUUAUUCAAGCUAUACACACAUGUGCUAUCAAGUUCCUUGAGGUUGCCAGCACAGUUGUCCAUCUAUUGAUGGACUUCUUAGGAGAUAGCAAUGUGGUUUCAGCUCUUGAUGUUGUCCUGUUUGUGCGUGAGAUUAUUGAAUCGAACCCCAAGCUUCGGGUGUCUAUUAUUACAAGAAUGUUAGACACUUUUUACCAGAUCCGUGCUGCACGCGUGUGUUCAAGUGCUCUCUGGAUAAUUGGGGAAUACUGUCUCUCUCUAUCUGAAGUGGAGUCUGGGAUUUCUACAAUUAAGCAGUGCAUUGGUGAUCUUCCAUUGUACACUGUUAGCGACGAAACCGAGACAACACCAGAUAAACAAGUGAAUUCUCAGAAAAUAAACUCUUCUGCUGUUGCCUCAUCUAGAAAGCCUGCUGUUCUUGCUGACGGAACGUAUGCUACACAAAGUGCUGCCUCUGAAACUGCAGUUUCUGCUCCAACUCUUGUUUCUGGAACUCUAUCAUCACCAGGGAAUUUGAGAUCAUUGAUCCUCACUGGGGAUUUUUUCUUAGGUGCCAUUGUUUCAUGCACCUUGACAAAACUUAUCCUGAGACUUGGAGAAGUGCAACCAUCUAAAGUUGAAGUCAACAAAGCAUGUACAAAUGCCUUGCUAAUUAUGGUUUCCAUGCUACAAUUGGGGCAGUCAUCAUAUCUUCAACACCCAAUUGACAAUGAUUCUUAUGAUAGGAUAUUAGUGUGCAUAAGGUUACUCUGCAAUACUGAUAAUGAAGUUAGGAAGAUAUGGUUGGAGUCGUGCCGUCAGAAUUUUGCAAAAAUGCUGGCAGAAAAACAAUUUCGUGAGAUUGAGGAGAUAAAGGCAAAGGUUCAAGUAUCUCAUGCACAACCCGACGAUCUCAUUGACUUCUACCAUUUGAAGAGUAGAAAGGUAUGUUUUGUAAUAUUUAUUGUCAUCAAAUUACUUUGAUUUUAACUCCAGUAUUGAUUUUUUAAUCUUUGAUUUGAGCCAUACGGAGAAUAGUCAAGCUAUCUAAAUUUACCAAUCCAAAACACUGAAAAAUAUUCAUACAUAUUCUAUUAUUAUCAAAUCAUUCAAAUAUCAAUAUGGAUAAUAUUUCAAUCAGGUUUUCUUUCGGUUAAUUGUUUGAAUUUGUCUUUUAUGGUUAUUUAGUUUUUUGGCUAUUCCAGCUGAUUGGCCUUUGGAUGAUAAUUUUAAAACCUAAUGAACUUAUAAACCUAUAGGCCAUGGUGUAAAUAGUCAUCUUACACUAAAGAUCAGAUGAAUUUUGUCUCAUAUUAUUUCUUUUGGACUCAAAAAACAAUAUAUAGAUAGAAUAAUCAAUCAUCAAUUACAGAUUGCUUGACUAUUCUUCGAUUUCACAGGGCAUGAGCCAGCUUGAGUUGGAGGAUGAGGUUCAAGAUGAUUUAAAGCGUGCAACUGGAGAGUUUGUAAAUGAUGGCGACGAAGCUAAUAAACUCAACCGAAUUAUGCAACUUACGGGAUUCAGUGAUCUUGUGUAUGCUGAAGCAUAUGUCACAGUUCAUCAUUAUGAUAUUGUUCUUGAUGUUACUGUCAUUAAUCGGACGAGGAAUACUCUUCAGAAUUUAUGCCUGGAAUUGGCAACCAUGGGAGAUUUAAAACUUGUGGAAAGACCACAGAAUUACACACUGGCACCAGAAUCAACCAAGCAAAUUCGAGCCAAUAUUAAGGUUUCUUCAACUGAAACUGGUGUUAUAUUUGGUAAUAUUGUUUAUGAAACCUCAAAUGUUAAUGAACGGACAGUCAUUGUCCUUAGUGACAUUCACAUUGAUAUUAUGGACUACAUUUCUCCUGCUACAUGCUCUGACGUAGCAUUCAGAAGUAUGUGGGCAGAAUUUGAGUGGGAAAAUAAGGUAAACCAUCCUAUUUUUUAAAUUUUGCAUUUCAGUUUUUAGAGUGAAAUUAUGCUGCAUCACAAAUUAUAAUCGUUGAUCAGUCUAUAGAUCAAUGAUGCUAUUAAAUAUAUAGCUGGCGUUAUAUAGCAUACCAUAACCCCUGUUAUUCCAUAGCGUGAAUAAUUCAAACCUUGCGUUAUCUUAGUAAAUUUCAUUACAUUUACUAUCAUCUUAUUUAUUAUUAGACGUUAUAGCAUGCCAUAACCCGAUUUAUUCCAUAGCGUGGAAUGGAUAACUCAAACAUUGUUUUAUCGACUUAUCGUGGUAAAUUUUAUGACAUUUACUAUCAUUUUAUUUAUUAUUUGGCGUUAUAGCAUAUGUCAUAUCCCCGGUGGAAUGGAUAAUUCAAACCUUGUUGUUAUUGUAGUAAAUUUCAUUACAUAUACUAUCAUCUUAUUUGUUUUUGCCUGUUCAAUUAUUUUAUUAUAAUGUGCAUAUUUCAGGUUCAUUUUCAUAAUUUAUCUUCGUUGUUUGUCUUUUAUUUAUAACUGUUAAUGGGUCUGUCCUGCAUUUCAGGUGGCUGUGAACACUGUUAUUCAAGACGAGCAGCAAUUCUUGGGUCAUAUUAUAAAGUCAACAAACAUGAAAUGCCUCACAGCACCGUAAAUUCUGAGCCCUUUCAUUUUUUAGCUAUUAUACAAUCUCUUUUAUUAUCAGCAAUUAUCUAUACCGUAUUUUCUUUUGCUGUGUCUUCAUGAAAAUUUGAUUACAUUAUCCCAAAUUUGCACAUUCGUGCUAAACUUUAGCUUUGGUUAAAAUGUUCUUCUGUUUGUUGCUCGAAUCAGGUCUGCAUUGGAUGGACAAUGUGGUUUCCUCGCAGCAAAUCUAUAUGCUAAGAGUGUAUUCGGAGAGGAUGCUCUAGUGAAUGUAAGUAUUGAGAAGCAAACUGAUGGGAAGUUAAGCGGGUACAUAAGAAUAAGGAGCAAGACUCAAGGUAUUGCUCUAAGCUUAGGAGACAAGAUCACAAUCAAACAGAAGGGAGGUUCUUAGAAGAAGAAGAAGAAUUAACCACCAGGUUUUACUUUUUAUGAGCUUGCGUUUAUUUUUGGAUCAACCGUCUCUUAUUCCGAUUUCCAAAACUACCUUUCGCUUGCAAUAAAUACCAAUACUUCCUCCUUUAGAACAGCACCACACUCGAGUCGCUCUUGAUACAAAGAUUUCUUUCACUUGUAUUGGAAUUUGGAAAGAAAUGUUUAGUUAGCAGUCAGUUAUUUGUGUAUGGGUUACAUAUUUACUUUCGAACUCUAUUGUUUUAUCACCAUCUUUCACCAUUUUAUCACCUGCUACCAUUUAUCCAUUGGUCAUAUUUUGGAUUUUGAGAUUUUGGAGAGGCAUUCUUGCCCGAGUAUUAAAGUCUCAUUAAUUUACCGAGGAUUUAGUUUAUCAACAUAUUUCAACAUCAAUUGACAAAUCAUACUUUUUUUUUAAAAAAAAUUCACAUUAAUGAAAUGAACGACUCAUUUCAUCUCACAAAUCCAACGGUUAUGACUCAUCAUCAUCCUUAAAUAGUCUCACCAUCAAUAAGUAUUAUUAGAUGUUUCUUUUAUCUAAAUAAAUAAAUAUAAGUGUUAACUGUUGAGAAAUGAUAUUUUAUAUAGUUGGGACUUGGGAUAAGCGGUGUUUAAAAUUUAAAUAGAAUGUUAAAUAUAAAGAAUCGUAAUAUGGUUAGAAUUAACAGGACUUAGAACACCAUUAAAGGUCAUGGUAAUACCUAAAUGGAUACUUUGAAUGUUUUGAUGCUAAAUUAAACUAGAUCUUAGAUUACUUGUGAAGGUUUAAUUUAUUCAGAAAUAUAGAAAUUGAUGGUGUAUAGGCUUACAAGUUAGUCGCCACACACGCACAACAAUCUCUCUUGCACAAGGUGAAGUAUUCUCUCUAUUUUUCAACCACUUCCCUUGUUGGACUUCGUUCAUGGACUUCCUGAACCUCCAUCGGCUCAGCCCCGUUGUUCGGGCGAGGAAGACUCAUGGUCUGUUCGGCCUGAGGUCCGCUUGGACGGGUCUCGAUACCAACAGAAAUGCUUGUACUAAGUUGAUAGUCUAUCUAAUAUAAGUUAGUAAUGAAAAUGUAAAUAUGUUUGUAGAUAUACGUGGAAAAGUAGAUUUUUUUUCGAAUAAAAAUCGUGAUAAAUAUAUACCUGAAAAAAUGGUACACCACGUGGCAGUGAGCCUCGCUGAACUUGACCCCAUAUAGAGGCAGCCCGAAGGCUACAAUUAACACAAAUCGUAAUAAAAACAAAGAUAACUCAUACACUCUCUAAAAAACUCAUUUGUCUAGUCUCAUAUUUCCACACACCCUUCCCUUUCAUCUCGGUUUCAGAAACCCUUCAAAAAGGUUAAGAUAUGCUUCCGCCCGCCAUGUGCUUGUGUUCACCCGAUGGCUCGACACUCCUAUGCGAACAUAGUUCAUUGAAGACAUCCUUCUUCCCCUCCUCCCCGAAAGAAGACAAGGAUCGAAAUCGCCAACAAUCAACUAAGUCGACUAGUCAGACGUGGGACAAACGUAGGGUAGCCACCGCCACCCUUCCACCCCAAAAGAGUUUUGUUCCUUAGGGUAUCUUACCAUACCCAAUUUGGGAUCCGGACCCACUAUUAAGUAACAUCCGUUGGGGGGUUAUUUUGGAUACCCCCUCUAUCUCAUACAACAAAUAACAUGUCCUCCAUAGUUGAGUUUCUAGAUUUAAAUGUAGAUAUAUCAUAGACAAUACGUACAUCCACAACUAUACGCCGUACUAGCUCUGGUGUCGGUAAAGAUCUGCUCUUAUGCUUCCUCCGAUUACGCUCACCCCAAAUUGUCCAUGUGGUUGACUCAAGUAUAGUCCAACACAUGCCCCAUGCAGGUGAUCGUCGUGUUCUCGUGUCUCCCCAGUUCAUAUAUGAUUCGAUCUUUACAUUUGUCGUUGUCAAAAAAUCCCCUACAUGCCUACAGAUCUUCCUCCAUACAUCUCUGGAAUAACUGCAUCCGAAGUAUAUAUGGUCGAAACUCUCCAGCUUUGUUGUGCACAACCAGCAUUGUUUAGGUUGAGGGUACCCCCACCCAAUCAGCUUGUCCCUGCAUCGUGAUCCUCCGAAGGUUAGCCCUCCACAUCGUCAUAGCAUACUUGUUGACGUCCGAUGCCCAUAUCCUUGUUGCUAUGUCUUCCCUUGGUGAUGUGGAGUGAGUUACUAUACUUUAUAUCAAUUAGUAAUUGAGCCCAAUAAGAGUGGUUAAUACUUUGUAUUGUUAAUGUUUAUUGUUAGUCUAAUAAUUAGUUAAACAGAGUCACAAAUUCACAUGGUGGGCUUAGAAAGAGUUAGCCUUGACCAAUAUGAUCUUUCCGCAGGAGGAGGGAUUGCAAGAUUUUGGAAUGCUCCAGGUAUCAGCGAUGAUCAACAAAGCAACAAAAUUAUGGACCAGUAGCACAAUUUGGUCACGAUGGAUGAAAUCAAGGUACGUCCGCAACCAGUCGCUCAAUCAAAUAUAACCACGUUACAAUGAUUCACCGACAUGGAAAGGAAUUAUGAGAAAUAGAAAGGCCACCUACAAAUGCACGACAUAUAAUGGAAAUUAUGAAAUCAACUGGAUAAGAAGCAUCGGCAGACUGACAAUCCUGCAGUAGAAAUUUGGGGGGCCAAGGUCAACAAAAUGAAUCUACUAAUGUGGAGGUUGUGUUGGAGGAAUAUCCCAACUAUGGACAAAAUCCAGAAGAGAUGAGUGACAGGUCCGAUUAGGUUCAUGUUGUGUUCUAACGAUGCGGAGACGGUUGACCACGUCUUCUACAAUUGCGUAUUCUAGAGGGAAUUAAGUCAUCGAUGAAUGUCUGGUGGCAGCAGGAAACGUCGUCGUCACCAUAGGACCAGAUUGCACUUUCAAUUUUACUGCGAAAAUCGUCGUCGUCUGGUUUGAGCUCUGCACUGGUCGCUACUAGGAGCAAUAUUAUGGCACCUUUGGAAAGAGCGGAAUGCGAGGAUCGAAAAGGACAAAUUUGUUACCGGCGGAAUCCUGGCUAGAAAAGUGAUUAAUAGGGGAUUAGAUAGAUAUUUUAUGUUAAUUAGCUAUGGUAAUUUUGUAUAAAAUAAUAAAACUCAGCUAUUUACAAUUUUACAUUAAUAUCAAUGAAUCAACACUUGAAAAAAAAUAUUACUCAGCCAAUCCCAAAUUUCUAAAGGUCGUUAAAGGCAUACUAGAGACAUUCUCAGCCUUCACAGGUCUAACAAUCAAUCCUCAAAAAAGUUCUAUCACCUUCUCCAAGAUAUGUGAAAGCUCCACAGAACUCCAACAGAUCUUUGAUUUCCCAGUUUCUAAACUCCCCAUAGUUUAUCUAGGCCUCCCCAUAAGUCAUAACAGGGAAAAAAAAAUCUUACAACUAAUGUUGAAAGUUAAUACAACCCAUAGAAGGCUUGCUAGCUAAAUGGAGGGGCAAAUACCUCUCCUAUGGAGGUAGAAUCCAACUAGUAAACUGGAUACUAGCUGGAAAAUACACAUACUGGGCCCAAGGCAUCAAUCUACCUUCCUCUGUCCACAAAAAAAUUCAAAGGCUGGCGUACCAGUUCAUUUGGGAUGGAAGGAGAGGGAUACCAUGGUCAUUAAUGAUUCUACCUAAGGAGGAGGGAGGAUUAGGAGUUAGAAACCUCCAAAUGAUAGCCUUUGUUGCUCCUAUUAAAAAAACAGCCACAAUAUGUGAUAAGCAAUCUAUAUUUGCACAAUGGAUGCAGAGAAGAUACACCAAAGGCAUGGCUCUUAACAAUAUUAGCCCUAAACACUCCAUUGACUCUGCCCAAUGGAAAGAGAUCUUAGACUCCAAAGAGAAAACCGAUCAAUGCUUGAAAUGCAGGGUCGAAAAUUCUCUAAUUUGAAAAAUUGGAAAUGGAAAACAGAACUUAAGAACCAUCAUUGAAGCCUUAAGAACCAAGGCCACUAAGGAUCCUCUAGCCAAAGGUAUAUGGUCUCAUAUGCCGACAAAAUUCUCAGUAAUGUUGUAGAGGAUAAAAAAUAAACAGAUCAAAACUCUACAGAUGUUCGUCGCAUGGGGUAUCUCCAUACAACUAACCUGCCUCCUCUGUGGUCAGGGAAUUGAGACCAUCAGCCACCUAUUUUUUAAUUGCCCAUAUAUUAGAAAACUUCUUCUACAACUCUCUGAAUAUCUCAACCAGGCCCUUUGGAAAAUAUCAAACUCUCCCUCCGACCCUCACACAUCUAGAUAUUAGAUUUGGAGAUGUAAUAGAAUCAUGUCAAAAACUGACGCAUCAGACUCCUCCAUGGGGCCUACAUUGAAAUGUUAUUGGUUGUCUCACAUGACACAUUUAGUCUGAACGAAACAGGAGGCAUCGCCAACACCCUCUCAGACCCCAGAAGUAAUUUUAGCUGAUAUAGUAAAGACUGUAGAAUAUCUUUUAAAGCUGAUAUCUUUAAGAAAAAAUGUGGUUCACAAUUGGAAAAGACUAUUAUGCAGGUUUGGGAGACAACCUUCCUGAGGCCAAAUUUUUAGUUAGAACACUGGGAAGGAUAGUUAUAUAGAAGAAGGUCGAUAUAUUGGAUAUCAUAAUAUCAACCCCAUCGCAUUUUAUUUUCUUAUUCAAUUGUAUUUGAACUUUUAAUAUUUGUAAAAAAAAAAACACUUCAAAAAAAUGGAAUAAAUUAUUUCUGACUUUUUUGACGGUUGAAGAGAAAUCGAUAAAUAAUGAACGGUGUUGACUGUUGAGUAGAAAGAAGUUCACACAAUCACACCUUUCUUUUAACAAAAUUUACUAAUUACAAAAAUAAAAUUAUCUUUUACGUACAUGUAAUUUGUAAUUUGACCAAGGUGUGGGCUGGAUUUAAAUUCUAGUUUGCGAACAAAAUCCGCGAUCUGAGAAUCCGAGAUCUGUUCGGUCGUCUCAGAUCUCGUUCUCCGUUCAUACCUGCAAUCAGUUCCGAUUCUCUUCUCACCCAAGGUACGACGAACGCUCCCUUUCUUCUUCUUCUCGUCCGAGAUCCAUAAGAUCCACAACUAUCCAGAAUUCACCGGUCAUGUUCUUAUUUUAGGGGGUUUUGUCCCAAAUAAUUUUUCUCAUUCUGAUCGGUAGAUUUUUUGUGUGUGUGAAGAUGAGUGAGAAACCGUGCACGUUGCUCGUCCACUUCGACAAGAGUGCACCGGCUCUUGCCAAUGAGAUCAAGGAAGCGCUGGAGGGGAGCGAUGUCGGUUCCAAGAUCGAUGCGAUGAAGAAGGCUAUCAUGAUUCUGCUUAACGGGGAAAGCAUCCCGCAUCUAUUCAUCACCAUCAUCCGCUACGUACUCCCUUCCGAAGACCACACAAUCCAGAAGCUCCUCCUUCUGUACCUCGAGAUCAUUGAUAAGAAGGACUCUUCCGGAAAGGCACUUCCGGAAAUGAUCUUGAUUUGCCAGAAUUUGAGGAAUAAUCUUCAGCAUCCCAAUGAGUAUAUCCGGGGCGUU